AAACGGGUGCGGAACACGUACACAACCUUCCUUCAAAUGGGGAAUAGCCCAGGGAAACUUGGAUUAAUACCCCGUAACAUUAUGAAGUGGCAUCACUUUAUAAUUAUAGCUCCGGCGUUUGGAGAUGGGUGUGCGGCUGAUUAGGUAGUUGGUGCGGGUAACGGCCCACCAAGCCAGCGAUCAGUAACUGGUGUGAGAGCACGACCAGUCACACGGGCACUGAGACACGGGCCCG
RNAcentral lists this ribosomal RNA (235 nucleotides) under uncultured bacterium. RNAcentral's name for it is "partial 16S ribosomal RNA". It matches the Rfam family "Bacterial small subunit ribosomal RNA", at positions 101 to 334 of the family's 1533-position model. The record is from RNAcentral.